GGGGAGACUGCCGGUGACAAACCGGAGGAAGGUGGAGACGACGUCAAGUCAUCAUGGUUCUUAGGGGCAGGGCAACACACGAGCAACAAUGGCCGGUACAGAGGGCUGCGAAGUCGCAAGGCGGAGCGAAUCUCAGAAAACCGGUCGUAGUCCGGAUUGCAGUCUGCAACUCGACUGCAUGAAGUUGGAAUCGAUAGUAAUCGCGGAUCAGAAUGCCGCGGUGAAUACGUUCCCGGGCCUUGAACACACCGCCCGUCACACCAUGGGAGUGGGCUGUACCAGAAGUAGGUAGUCUAACCUUCGGGAGGACGCUUACCACGGUGUGGUUCAUGACUGGGGUGAAGUCGUAACAAGGUAACC
RNAcentral lists this ribosomal RNA (360 nucleotides) under uncultured gamma proteobacterium 400m-FREE-31. RNAcentral describes it as "bacterial SSU rRNA". It matches the Rfam family "Bacterial small subunit ribosomal RNA", at positions 1142 to 1501 of the family's 1533-position model. The record is from RNAcentral. Lineage: Bacteria; Pseudomonadati; Pseudomonadota; Gammaproteobacteria.